AACGUAGGACACAAGCGUUAUCCGGAGUUACUGGGCGUAAAGGGCGCGUAGGCGGCCCGGCGCGUCCGCGGUGAAAGCUCCCGGCUCAACUGGGAGAGGUCCGCGGAAACGGUCGGGCUGGAGCAAGGUAGGGGGUCGUGGAAUUCCCGGUGUAGUGGUGGAAUGCGCAGAUAUCAGGAGGAACACCAAUAGCGAAGGCAGCUCGCUGGGACGUUACUGACACUGAGGCGCGAAAGCGUGGGGAGCGAACAGG
Molecule: ribosomal RNA, 253 nt
Filed under: uncultured bacterium
Lineage: Bacteria
Description: partial 16S ribosomal RNA
Rfam family: Bacterial small subunit ribosomal RNA
Source: RNAcentral